This 1072-nucleotide ribosomal RNA is filed under the name Cryptomonas tetrapyrenoidosa. RNAcentral describes it as "eukaryotic LSU rRNA". It matches the Rfam family "Eukaryotic large subunit ribosomal RNA", at positions 1 to 1001 of the family's 3401-position model. The record is from RNAcentral. Lineage: Eukaryota; Cryptophyceae; Cryptomonadales; Cryptomonadaceae.
GCUUCGUUCUCAAAUCAGGCGAGACUACCCGCUGAACUUAAGCAUAUCACUAAGCGGAGGAAAAGAAACUAACCAGGAUUCCCCUAGUAACGGCGAGUGAACCGGGAAGAGCUCAAGCCUAAAAUCUUCGGAAUUGUAGUCUAUAGGUGCGAACUUGUACAUCCCCGGGUAUAAAUCCGUUCUUGGAACUGGGUGCCAGAGAGGGUUAGAGCCCCGUCUUUGACUCGGUAGGAUGUGCGUGAUAAGGUCGCUCCAGAGAGUCGGCUUGCUUGGGAAUGCAGGCCAAAUUGGGUGGUAAACUCCAUCUAAAGCUAAAUAUUGGCGAGAGACCGAUAGCGAACAAGUACUGUGAAGGAAAGAUGGAAAGAACUUUGAAAAGAGAGUGAAAAAGGGCUUGAAAUUGUUGAGAGGAGAAGUGAUUGGAGCCUAUCCUGCGCGGCGGGAUCCUAGGGCUGGAGCUUGCUCCAGCCUGCACCAUGCCGUCGCGCUGGCCAGCAUCGGUUCGCUGUGGGGGACAAGGCUGGGAGGGCGGAAGGGUAAAACCGACUGGCUCUCAGCGCAUGACCCGUGGCGGACCGAGGCACCAAGGGCGCGCCUAGCGGCCGGCCCAUCGUGCACGUUACUCCGUAAUUACACACUCCGGUGUUUGGUUGCUGAGUGGGCGUUGACGCGGUGGAGCGCUGGACCUGCGCCCUGAAGAUGCUGGCACAAUGGCUUCAACCAGCCCGUCUUGAAAACGGACCAAGGAGUCUAACACGUAUGCAAGUAGUAAGGUGGCAAACCUUGGAUGCGAAAUGAAAGUGAACGUAGGUGGGAUCCCUUUGGGUGCACCAUCGACCGACCAGGAUCUACUGUGAAGGUUUGAGUAAGAGCAUAUUUGUUGGGACCCGAAAGAUGGUGAACUAUGCCUGAAUAGGGUGAAGCCAGAGGAAACUCUGGUGGAGGCUCGUAGCGGUACUGACGUGCAAAUCGUUCGUCAAAUUUGGGUAUAGGGGCGAAAGACUAAUCGAACCAUCUAGUAGCUGGUUCCCUCCGAAGUUUCCCUCAGGAUAGCUGGAGCUCGCACAAGUUU